UACGAAGGGGGCUAGCGUUGUUCGGAUUUACUGGGCGUAAAGCGCACGUAGGCGGAUCUUUAAGUCAGAGGUGAAAUCCCAGGGCUCAACCUUGGAACUGCCUUUGAUACUGGGGAUCUUGAGUCCGGGAGAGGUGAGUGGAAUUGCGAGUGUAGAGGUGAAAUUCGUAGAUAUUCGCAAGAACACCAGUGGCGAAGGCGGCUCACUGGCCCGGUACUGACGCUGAGGUGCGAAAGCGUGGGGAGCAAACAGG
RNAcentral lists this ribosomal RNA (253 nucleotides) under uncultured bacterium. Its description in RNAcentral is "partial 16S ribosomal RNA". It matches the Rfam family "Bacterial small subunit ribosomal RNA", at positions 524 to 776 of the family's 1533-position model. The record is from RNAcentral.